AGAAUUAUAGCUUAUAUUUAGAGCAGUUAGCUGUUAACUAAUUAGGAAUAAAAAUAUUUAUUGGUUCUG
This 69-nucleotide transfer RNA is filed under the name Cuspidaria undata. RNAcentral describes it as "tRNA-Asn". It matches the Rfam family "tRNA". Rfam says of the family: Transfer RNA (tRNA) molecules are approximately 80 nucleotides in length. The record is from RNAcentral. Lineage: Eukaryota; Metazoa; Mollusca; Bivalvia; Cuspidariidae.